GAUGAACGCUGGCGGCGUGCCUAAUACAUACAAGUCGAGCGAACAGACGAGGAGCUUGCUCCUCUGACGUUAGCGGCGGACGGGUGAGUAACACGUGGAUAACCUACCUAUAAGACUGGGAUAACUUCGGGAAACCGGAGCUAAUACCGGAUAAUAUAUUGAACCGCAUGGUUCAAUAGUGAAAGACGGUUUUGCUGUCACUUAUAGAUGGAUCCGCGCCGCAUUAGCUAGUUGGUAAGGUAACGGCUUACCAAGGCAACGAUGCGUAGCCGACCUGAGAGGGUGAUCGGCCACACUGGAACUGAGACACGGUCCAGACUCCUACGGGAGGCAGCAGUAGGGAAUCUUCCGCAAAGGGCGAAAGCUUGACGGAGCAACGCCGCGUGAGUGAUGAAGGUCUUCGGAUCGUAAAACUCUGUUAUUAGGGAAGAACAAAUGUGUAAGUAACUAUGCACGUCUUGACGGUACCUAAUCAGAAAGCCACGGCUAACUACGUG
This 497-nucleotide ribosomal RNA is filed under the name uncultured bacterium. RNAcentral's name for it is "partial 16S ribosomal RNA". It matches the Rfam family "Bacterial small subunit ribosomal RNA", at positions 28 to 507 of the family's 1533-position model. The record is from RNAcentral.